UACGAAGGGGGCUAGCGUUGUUCGGAAUCACUGGGCGUAAAGCGCACGCAGGCGGAUCGUUAAGUCAGGGGUGGAAUGCCGAGGCUCAACCUCGGAACUGCCUUUGAUACUGGCGAUCUUAGAGUCCGGGAGAGGUGAGUGGAACUCCGAGUGUAGAGGUGAAAUCCGUAGAUAUUCGGAAGAACACCAGUGGCGAAGGCGGCUCACUGGCCCGGUACUGACGCUCAGGUGCGAAAGCGUGGGGAGCAAACAGG
Molecule: ribosomal RNA, 254 nt
Filed under: uncultured bacterium
Lineage: Bacteria
Description: partial 16S ribosomal RNA
Rfam family: Bacterial small subunit ribosomal RNA
Source: RNAcentral